Molecule: ribosomal RNA, 482 nt
Filed under: uncultured bacterium
Lineage: Bacteria
Description: partial 16S ribosomal RNA
Rfam family: Bacterial small subunit ribosomal RNA
Source: RNAcentral
AUUGAACGCUGGCGGCAUGCCUUACACAUGCAAGUCGAACGGUAACGGGCCUUCGGGUGCCGACGAGUGGCGAACGGGUGAGUAAUACAUCGGAACGUGCCCGAUCGUGGGGGAUAAUGAGGCGAAAGCUUUGCUAAUACCGCAUACGAUCUACGGAUGAAAGCAGGGGACCGCAAGGCCUUGCGCGGACCGAGCGGCCGAUGGCAGAUUAGGUAGUUGGUGGGAUAAAAGCUUACCAAGCCGACGAUCUGUAGCUGGUCUGAGAGGAUGAUCAGCCACACUGGGACUGAGACACGGCCCAGACUCCUACGGGAGGCAGCAGUGGGGAAUUUUGGACAAUGGGCGCAAGCCUGAUCCAGCCAUGCCGCGUGCAGGAUGAAGGCCUUCGGGUUGUAAACUGCUUUUGUACGGAACGAAAAGCCUUCUUUUAAUACAGGAGGGUCAUGACGGUACCGUAAGAAUAAGCACCGGCUAACUACGUG